Meleagris gallopavo (turkey) is the source of this 350-nucleotide non-coding RNA. NCBI's taxonomy places the organism in Eukaryota, Metazoa, Chordata, Aves, Galliformes, Phasianidae. The record is from RefSeq and is a predicted model, not a curated record.
GGGGGCCGUGGGGCUGAGCUGCUCCUCCCCCAGGUGAGCUCUACGAUCUGGAUGCGGCCUCACUGCAGCUCAAGGUGGUCAACUACCUGAAGCAGGAGACCCAGUCGCUGUGCUGCUGCCUCCUGCUGGUCUCGGAGGACAACCAUCAGCUCUUCUGCCAGGUUGUAGGGGAUCGCGUCCUGGAGGAGGAGAUCAGCUUUUCGCUCACCUUCGGGCGCCUGGGGAGGGUGGUGGAGGACAAAAAUCCCAUUACCCUAAAGGACAUCAGCGAGGUGAGUGAACCCCUGUAUGGGGUCUGUGGGAUGUCCUUACGGGGUGACCCUAUGGGGUGGUGCUGUGGGGUCUUCUUA